AUGUCCGUAGGCCAUCGCCGUCUUGUUUCAGGGGAGGAGUUCGAGGACUGUCUUGAACACCCAGAUCCGGUUCCUCUGGCCUUGUUCCUGAGAAGCGAAGCCAGCCACGCCGUCCCUGCGGACUCAAAUGCCGGGUUACAGCUCGGUAGUGCACCACCAGACCAGACACCUUGUCCCUGGGAUGAGUGCUCACAAUUAUGCAGAGGAACCGACAAAGAGUGUAGUGCGACCUGCACUUGCUCGGGCGAGGCAUAUGAUUUCUACAAUUUGUACACUUGGGAGAUCGGGUUCGGAAUUAGAUAUGAUAAGAUCAGGCUCAACGCUGAGAGGACAAAAUGCAUGGAGGAGAUAGUCUGCGGUUGCUCGGUGCCUACUGAACUCUGCUUACAUAGUUAUAUUUGA
RNAcentral lists this ribosomal RNA (402 nucleotides) under Triticum aestivum (bread wheat). RNAcentral's name for it is "partial small subunit ribosomal RNA". Lineage: Eukaryota; Viridiplantae; Streptophyta; Magnoliopsida; Poales; Poaceae. The record is from RNAcentral.